This 253-nucleotide ribosomal RNA is filed under the name uncultured bacterium. RNAcentral describes it as "partial 16S ribosomal RNA". It matches the Rfam family "Bacterial small subunit ribosomal RNA", at positions 524 to 776 of the family's 1533-position model. The record is from RNAcentral.
UACGAAGGGGGCUAGCGUUGCUCGGAAUCACUGGGCGUAAAGCGCGUGUAGGCGGCCCUGCAAGUCGGGUGUGAAAUCCCACGGCUCAACCGUGGAAGUGCACUCGAAACUGCAGGGCUAGAGUCCUGGAGAGGAAGGUGGAAUGCUUGGUGUAGAGGUGAAAUUCGUAGAUAUCAAGCGGAACACCGGUGGCGAAGGCGGCCUUCUGGACAGUGACUGACGCUGAGACGCGAAAGCGUGGGGAGCAAACAGG